Molecule: non-coding RNA, 194 nt
Organism: Oryza punctata
Lineage: Eukaryota; Viridiplantae; Streptophyta; Magnoliopsida; Poales; Poaceae
Source: Rfam
AAAGAUCGCAGUUUUGAAUUUUUAUAUCCAAUAUUUGAUCGUCUGUCUUAUUUGAAAAUUUUUAUGAUUAGUAUUUUUAUUGUUAUUACAUGAUAAAACAUGAAUAGUACUUUAUGCAUGGUUAUUUUUUAUAAAUUUUUUAAAUAAGACAAACGGUCAAAAGUUGAAUACGAAAACUCACGACUGCACUUAAA